Molecule: ribosomal RNA, 620 nt
Filed under: uncultured soil bacterium
Lineage: Bacteria
Description: bacterial SSU rRNA
Rfam family: Bacterial small subunit ribosomal RNA
Source: RNAcentral
AGGCCUAACACAUGCAAGUCGAACGGUAACAGGAAGCAGCUUGCUGCUUCGCUGACGAGUGGCGGACGGGUGAGUAAUGUCUGGGAAACUGCCUGAUGGAGGGGGAUAACUACUGGAAACGGUAGCUAAUACCGCAUAACGUCGCAAGACCAAAGAGGGGGACCUUAGGGCCUCUUGCCAUCGGAUGUGCCCAGAUGGGAUUAGCUAGUAGGUGGGGUAACGGCUCACCUAGGCGACGAUCCCUAGCUGGUCUGAGAGGAUGACCAGCCACACUGGAACUGAGACACGGUCCAGACUCCUACGGGAGGCAGCAGUGGGGAAUAUUGCACAAUGGGCGCAAGCCUGAUGCAGCCAUGCCGCGUGUAUGAAGAAGGCCUUCGGGUUGUAAAGUACUUUCAGCGGGGAGGAAGGGAGUAAGGUUAAUACCUUUGCUCAUUGACGUUACCCGCAGAAGAAGCACCGGCUAACUCCGUGCCAGCAGCCGCGGUAAUACGGAGGGUGCAAGCGUUAAUCGGAAUUACUGGGCGUAAAGCGCACGCAGGCGGUUUGUUAAGUCAGAUGUGAAAUCCCCGGGCUCAACCUGGGAACUGCAUCUGAUACUGGCAAGCUUGAGUCUCGUA